GUGUCAUAUGAAAGGAGAGAAGGUUAGCACUCCCCUUGACAAUGCUGGAAGGGACCCUUGGCCUGACAACAUGCAUACAAUUAAGACAUUGCCACCUACUUCAUGGCAAUGCCUUAAAGUUAAAUAUUGUU
Small nuclear RNA from Gorilla gorilla gorilla (western lowland gorilla), 131 nucleotides. Lineage: Eukaryota; Metazoa; Chordata; Mammalia; Primates; Hominidae. The record is from Ensembl.